RNAcentral lists this unclassified non-coding RNA (432 nucleotides) under soil metagenome. RNAcentral's name for it is "partial contains 5.8S ribosomal RNA, internal transcribed spacer 2, and large subunit ribosomal RNA". The stretch from base 1 to 120 matches the Rfam family "5.8S ribosomal RNA", at positions 35 to 154 of the family's 154-position model. The record is from RNAcentral.
GAUGAAGAACGUAGCGAAAUGCGAUACGUAAUGUGAAUUGCAGAAUUCAGUGAAUCAUCGAAUCUUUGAACGCAUAUUGCGCUCUCUGGUAUUCCGGAGAGCAUGCUUGUUUGAGUAUCAGUAAACACCUCAACUUCCAUAUCUUUUUUGAAAUGGGAGUUGGACUUGAGUGAUCCCAACGCUUUUCCUCACCGAAAAGUGGCGGGUUACUUGAAAUGCAGGUGCAGCUGGACUUUUCUCUGAGCUAUAAGCAUAUCUAUUUAGUCUGCCUAAAAAAGAGAUUAUUACCUUUGCUGCAGCUAACAUAAAGGAGAUUAGUUCUUGUGCUGACUGAUGCAGGAUUCACAAAGACGGCUUCGGCCGACUUUGUAAACUCGAUCUCAAAUCAAGUAAGACUACCCGCUGAACUUAAGCAUAUCAAUAAGCGGAGGA